UGGAAGGACCAAGCAAGCAGGUGGAAGCAGAGUGGGGCUCAACGAGGCCACCAGGACCUUGGGAUGCCACCUGCCAGAGACUACCUGUCUUUCUUCCCUGCCUCCUACGUGAGCCAUCCAGGCUCAAAACCUUCCUCAAGCGAUGGAGGACAGAGAGGAUGCCUGCACUAACAAAGGGAAAUACCUACAGAGCAAGAACCUGAACCAGGCAAUGAGAACAAGAAAUGAGACAUUUCCUGCAACCACAUCUGGUACACUCCUAUCUGCUCCAUUUGAACUUCAAAACCUCACCCAUACAGUAAUAAAUAUCACAGCUGCUCCAGAAAAUUGACAGCUUCAUGGCAGCGGUUGAGGACAUGCUUUCCCAUUUUUUCUGGCUCAGAUUCAAGAUGAAGAUGAGGUUCUCAAUAACUUUAGGACUGCCAUUUUGGUGGAACUGAAUUAGAAGCACACUCGUACACACAUCUGCUCGCAUAGCUGCAUGUCCAUGAAACAUGACACAGACAUCUUGUCUAAGCUAUUGCAAUGUGUUGGUUUUACUGGCUUUUGAAUUUCUGUAUCUUAAGACUUGUGGCAUCUGAAGAAAGGCAGCUUUCACAAAGACGCUGACAAACUUCUCUAGAUGCGGAAGCCUGGGAUCAGCAAACCUCGUUAAUUCGCUGGGACUGAGGGUUCUGCUUGACCACCAGCUCUUUCAAACACAGCCUAUGCUCCCUGCCUCCAGAGGCCCACCAGCACCAAAGGCAGGCAUUUUAGGUAAGGGCUGUGGUUUUCCUAACGGGGCCAUGAAGGACAGAGUGAAAGUCAGUGGGAUCCUCAUUCCCAC
Molecule: long non-coding RNA, 826 nt
Organism: Suricata suricatta (meerkat)
Lineage: Eukaryota; Metazoa; Chordata; Mammalia; Carnivora; Herpestidae
Exons: 3
Source: RefSeq, a predicted model, not a curated record